ACCCGUGGGGCUGGCGCUGAGCCGGUGGGCCGGCUGCAGGUGCUGGAUGCCGGCAGGGUCCUGGCUGGGGACGUGGAGGGUGGUGGCCUGAGAGGACGGCGUGUGAAGCCCAGACUCACUGGAGGCCUCAGUGUCUGAGGGAACUGCUCAGCUGGGAUUGAAGCAGGGGAGCCUAGAGGAGGCCAGAAACCAGCUCCAGCUUCUCUUGUCACCUGGAGACAGCAGAGUGCUGAACCAGAGGAGCUUACAGCUAGAACUUAGAAAUCAUCUAAUCCAGUGAUGACAAACACACAGCACACAUGCCAUCACUUUCUUAAUCUGUGUUCAAGGCAAACAUCACUAAUCAAUCCCUGAAUGCUUUCCUACCAACCCAAGAUAUGAUCUCACCAUCCUUCUCAAUACAAGACUGCAGCUUCCAGGUCUCUGCUGGUCCCUAGGAAGCACUUUGACCUCUGCUUCCCCUUCAAAUGCUGUGGAUGAAGCCUCCCCCAACCCCACCAUCCCACCAAAGGGGGCUGCUGACCGAGAGAGCUCACUCAGCCAGGUAAGAAAGCAUCCCCUGCCCCCACCCUCACCCCAAAGCCCCCAAUCCCAUCUGGGGCCCUGGGCAGGUCAGGCCCAGCCCCACCCCGUCGGGUUGCCUUCGCCCUGGGUCUGGGAUGCCUGACUCUUUGCCCCUCCCCUGCAGCUCUGGAGUCCUUUGCCCUCCUCUUCCUGCCAAGUCAGUGGGCCCUGACUGCUCCCCUGCCCCCUGUCCAGGCCCUCGGGAGGCUCCCUGAGGCCUCUGGGAAAGCAGGAAUUCACCAGCCCUCCCCCACCCCAGCUGGGAUCAGGACCUUGGACAGAAAAGAGAUGGGCCCCUUUGGAGCAUCUCUGGGGCUCGAUCUCUCUCUGACUCCCUGGCCACCCCCUGCAGGCCUCUGGUCCCCGGUCAUAGCAAUUGAGAGCACCAGACAGAGUAGGUUUGGGGCCUCAGUUGGGUGAACUUAGUCCAGCUCCUUCCCGGCUCUAAGCCCCAGUUUCCCCAUUUGUGAAGAAGCAGAGUCACUCAUAGCUUCUGCCCAGGACUCAUCACCAUGAAGGAAAAUUAUUCCCGUGAAACCUCAGCACAGCGCCCAGGAAGUAGUGAACCUCCUCAAGCAGGCGCUGUAGGGUGGAGGUCAGGGAACCGCUGGAGAGGGGUGGCCCCUGCAGCCCCCAGGCCAUCCUUCCUUCUCCCCCGCACCCCCAUCCCCCACCCCCACUAGCUGGGAGGUGGGUUGGCCCAGAUCUUUCCAGGCCACCAUUCCUACAAGUUAAUGAUCACAGACCUUAUCAGAGCCUUUUGCCGUUUAUAAAUUUAUAAAACAAAAGAGAAAUAAUAAAGCACGUGGGUAAUUAGUAACUAGGUCUGCUCUGCUGAGGAGAGGGGAGGCAUCGAGCUCAGGACCCACCCAGUUCUCCAGGAGACGGGGAGUCCGCCAGCGGAUGGGGAUGUAGAAUGGGGAGCCUCUAAUGGUGAGGUGGGGUGCCUGUGGCCAUACAGCAAAGGGGAGAAGCUCCCACCUCGAGGCUCUGUCUGCCUCAGGUAAGAAAGACCUGGGCUUCCCUGGCUAAAUGCAUGAGUCCCUAGGAGGCCAGGAAAGCCCCCAAACCCCAGCUUCCGGCCCUCCUCCCUGGCAGUGCUUCCUGAUCCCCAGAACCUACCCACUGAGGGCUCAGUGCAGGAGUUAGGGUCUGGAGAGUAUAAAUGAUCAUAGUGGCUAAAAAUUUCCACCACCCCCCAGUUCUCCAGGCAUUUGAGUUGUGAACUCACCUGCUUUUUCUCCCGUCUUGGACCCCCCUGGGAAAUGUCCCCCCUGCCCAAGGACUGGGUUAAAGGCCUCGGCUCAUGGGAUUUGGGACUCUGCAGAGGAGCAGUUCAGGGGCUGGAGGAUCAAACCUCCAAGCAAGGACCCCUGGGCUCUCAUGGGCCCUGUCCCCCUUCCCAGCAACUAGGCUAAAGGCCAAAGCUCAUGAGGACUCAACUCAGAAGGGGGGCUCGUUAGGGGCCCCUCUAGGCUCUUCCUGGGAGCUGGGACGGGGAAGGGCUCCUUACUGCAGAAGGGUCUCCACCACGGCUUUCUGGUGGGCCGCCUCCUCAGGGCUGAGGUUCUCCAGCUCUUUGAGGAUGGGUGGCGUGAAGUCUUCCCCAUCGUCGUCCGUCUCAUCCUCGGAGCCCCGAGUCUCCCCUAGCCCAUUGGGCAGCUCAGCCAGAUCCCCUCGACCGCCGCCGCAGGACUCCCCUUUGUCCAGGGGGCCUUCUCCAGCCAGGAGGUAGGGCCCCGGCUCACCCAGUGCCUGGAUCAGUGCCUCUUUGCUCAGCCCUGACUCGAGCAGGGCCGCCAGGAGCUCCGUCUGCAGCUGGCUCAGUUUAGAAACCAUGGCUCGGCUGCCACAGGGCCACGCGGCCUGGGUCCACCACGCUAGCAGCCUCCCCCACCGCGUGGGUUGCGUUUGCCUGCCAGCCGGCAGACACAAACCAAACUCCUUGCACCCACUGCCCCCCCAAAACCCCACUAGCCAAGCCCUGUGGGCACCCCCAACCCCCAACCCUGGCCCCAGCGGCCCGUGAAUCAGGGCCCCUGCCUGCUCUGUUUACAUUGGAGCUGGGGAAAUUCUCCAAGGUUCAUAUUUAUCCGUGUGCUUAGCGAAGGGACUGAACUUUGGACUUCAGCCCUGCAAAGUGCAGGCCUCAUGGCAGCAGAGAGGGACAGGGAGCUAUGGCCUGCGAUGGGAGUGGGCAGAGGGGAGAGUGGGGGAGGCGCAGGUGAGGGGCCCUGAGCAGCUGGGAUGGAAGGUGCUGGGAGCCAGGGAGGCCAUCAAGAGUGCAGCAUUGGGUCCCUCCCCCGAAAGAACCUUGUAGGGGCAUCAUGCUGAGACAGGAGAGCCAAAAAUGCUUGCUGCUUACGAGAGCAGCAGCAGCAGGGAGCUCUAGACAGCUGGGCUAGCUCUUCUCAAGGGCAGAGGACGCUCACGGCCAUUUUGGGACCCUUCCAUCCAUUUUGGGACCCUUCUACCCCACUCCCGGCCUGACACCAGGCCUCCCUGUAGGAAAAAAUAUGUUAAGAUUACCAUGUGCCAAGAACAGUGCUGGCUCUGUAAGGGCAAAUUCACUUCAUUGCAUUCUGCUACCAACUGUGAGUAGGUACAGAGAUUAUCCCCAUUUUAUAGAGGAGGAAAUCGAGGCUCUGCGCGGUUAAGUAACUUGUACAGGGUCAUACAGCCAGCAAGGCACAAAACAUGCAAGGUGAGACUGAGUUGAGAUGAGUGUGGCACUUGCCCCAGGUGCAAAUUUAUUUUUUUAUUUUUUGAGCUAGGUUCUCACUUUGUUACCCAGGCUGGAGUGCUGUGGCGCGAUCAUAGCUUCCUGCAGCCUUGACUUCCUGGGUUCAGGUGAUCCUCCC
Long non-coding RNA from Symphalangus syndactylus (siamang), 3425 nucleotides. RefSeq lists it as uncharacterized. The record is from RefSeq and is a predicted model, not a curated record. NCBI's taxonomy places the organism in Eukaryota, Metazoa, Chordata, Mammalia, Primates, Hylobatidae.